Molecule: unclassified non-coding RNA, 2365 nt
Filed under: Neodiprion pinetum (white pine sawfly)
Lineage: Eukaryota; Metazoa; Arthropoda; Insecta; Hymenoptera; Diprionidae
Description: venom allergen 5-like, transcript variant X1
Source: RNAcentral
CACAGUUUUAACGGCAGUCGCUGAUCAACUUUUACUGACGCUUGUUUUACGAAUAGUGUAGCGAAAUGUUUGCCUGUUCAACAUCGGCCGUCCUUUUCGUCUUGACCCUGUCGUCCUGGCUUUGCCAUCAGUCCUCCUGGGCUGCAUCCGACUAUUGUAUGAUUUCUACGUGCGGAACCCAACGGCACACGCUCUGUCUCUAUCCUAACAGCGGUCCAUCCAGUCAGUGCAGAAAUUAUGAUUCGGUACCGUUGUCACGUGACGAAGAAGCGGAAAUCGUUGCCCACCAUAAUCAGCUUAGACGGAGAGUUGCCAGUGGUCAGGAAAUUCGAGGACAUCCAGGACCUCAGACACCCGCCAGUGACAUGAAGGAGUUGAAAUGGGACGACGAAUUGGCAACGAUUGCUCAACGCUGGGCUGAUCAAUGCGCUAUGAUUCCUCACGACGAUUGCAGGGAUACCGAAAGAUUUCGCGUCGGUCAAAACGUUGUGGACUACUGGAGCAGUGACAACGUGAAUCCGCCAAUCGAAAACCUCGUGGCGGGCUGGUACGACGAAGUUGGACAGUUCAGCAAGAACGACAUUGACGUUUAUCGGUUUAAUGAAGCCACGGGACACUACACGCAGAUGGUCUGGGGAAACACGUCGUUCAUCGGAUGUGGACGAGCCCGUGACACGAGUGGCGGAUAUCAUACUCGACUGGUUUGCGAUUACGGGCCUGCCGGCAACUUCAUCGGUAGACCGGUAUACAAAACCGGUAGACCUGCUUCCGCCUGUACUGAUGGUGUCAGCAGAACCUAUCCAGGCCUCUGUAGUUAGGAAACAAUAUGUAGACAAAUGUCUCACACACAUGGCAUGCCGAUUAGUGAUGUAAAAUUUUCAUGUCAACUUUAACCGGUGACCCAAAGAGGGUGGAUUCCGUUCAACCUUUUCAGAGUGACAUCAAAUCUACCGAACGAAUUUGGAUGAAAUUUGGUCUAGGGAGGUUGUGUGGGUCGCUGAUUACGAAUCUGAACUCAGAAUUUUUUAAUUUUAAAUAGUGGAUCCAAUAUAACAAUAUCAAGUGAGUUUUGGAGUUUUACCGCAAAGCUGGUCAGAGUUGAUCUAAAAAUUAACUUCGUCAUUCAUUAACUCGCUACUUAAAAAGUCAACUUCGAUAAUCGUUGAAUAUUUAAAAAAAAUUUUAAACCCACGGCAUGCCUAGUAUAACAGCUAUGUAUGCAUCACAUUCGCACUCGCACUUCGCAUUAAUUCAUUAGCCAUUCGACUCGCCGAGCGUACGAACUUCAAUUUAACGAAAGUUAAGAAAACCGUUAAUUAUUGUUUUGGUCAACUCAAAGGUUAAAUCAGAGCAAUUUUGUUACCUUCGUUAGUUACCGAUUAAUGGAUUAACGGUUUUCUGCCCAGCUUUGGGUUUUGGUCCACCAUAUCGGAUCCGCCAUUUUGAACUUUCACAUUUCGAUUUCGGAUUCGUAAUCAGCGAUCCAAAAAACCCCCCAACAACAAUUUCAUAAAAAUCCGUUCGGUAGAUUCGAUGUGCCCCUGAAAAUGUUGAAUGGAGAUAUAAUCCACCCUCUUUGGGGCACGAGUUAGAGUUGAGAUAAGAAUCUGAAAAAAAUGGAGAAUUAUUUUUGAAUCACGUGCUUAAUGCUACUCCACUCUUUGCGCACUUUGUUUUUUGACCCGAUUUUCUCUCCCGCAUCGAAGAUCACCUGACAUCUCGCGAAAUAACUGGAUCACCAUGGUUAAAUGGCCAUGGAUGCAUCGAUCAGAGACUUGCUGGUUUUUGGCUUUGUGUCGCCACACUGCGGGCGGCGGGUUCGAAUAAGAAUUACUUUCGCCUUCUUCAUUGUCGUCCGUUGACGUCUUGACGAUUCUUCCAUUUAAUACCGUUUAGGCCCUAAUAGUGGCUGACGAGACUGCUCUUGCUGGUGACUCGAGCUCCAACGAUGCAACUUGGCAUUGUAACGCGAAAUAUCUAUUAUCCAGCAGUUCGGCAGCACUGGAAACUCGAUGUAUCCAUGCGUCUAUAUAUCAGUCGGUCAACGGUACUCGGCGGGUGUUCUUCUUCCCUUAUAACCUUAGACUCUUUCCAAAAUACUUUUCUAUGGACGAUUCUUACCCUCUGUUAUAUAUAAUGUAUCAAUGCAAUGCUCUUGCACAAACGGUAAACACUUUCCGGUUGCUGGUGAAGGGGGCGAAAUGCAACUCACUUCAGUCAUUCCUCAAUAUCGACGUUUUUAUUUUUCAUUCAAUGUUCGAAUGUUUCGUCCAACGUCUUACUUCUGUAAACAAAUAAUCUGUCCAACGGUUUAACCUGAUAUCCAAACGUUUGAGAGAAAAAUAUAAUAGGUAUAAUAACCAAA